Molecule: ribosomal RNA, 254 nt
Filed under: uncultured bacterium
Lineage: Bacteria
Description: partial 16S ribosomal RNA
Rfam family: Bacterial small subunit ribosomal RNA
Source: RNAcentral
UACAGAGGGUGCAAGCGUUGUUCGGAAUUAUUGGGCGUAAAGCGCGUGUAGGCGGCUUGGCAAGUCGGGUGUGAAAGCCCUCAGCUCAACUGAGGAAGUGCGCCCGAAACUGCUUAGCUUGAGUGCCAGAGAGGGUGGCGGAAUUCCCGAAGUAGAGGUGAAAAUUCGUAGAUAUCGGGAGGAACACCGGUGGCGAAGGCGGCCACCUGGCUGGUAACUGACGCUGAGACGCGAAAGCGUGGGUAGCAAACAGG